GCCCAGAUAGCUCAGUUGGUAGAGCAUCCCCUUGGUAAGGGGAAGGUCAUGGAUUCAAGUUCCAUUCUGGGCUC
Molecule: transfer RNA, 74 nt
Filed under: bacterium ADurb.BinA186
Lineage: Bacteria
Description: tRNA-Thr
Rfam family: tRNA
About the family: Transfer RNA (tRNA) molecules are approximately 80 nucleotides in length.
Source: RNAcentral